RNAcentral lists this ribosomal RNA (356 nucleotides) under uncultured soil bacterium. RNAcentral's name for it is "bacterial SSU rRNA". It matches the Rfam family "Bacterial small subunit ribosomal RNA", at positions 26 to 367 of the family's 1533-position model. The record is from RNAcentral.
AGGAUAAACGCUGGCGGCGUGCAUUAGACAUGCAAGUCGAACGGACUUCUCGGGGCUUGCUCUGAGAAGUUAGUGGCGGACGGCUGAGUAACGCGUAGGUGACCUAUCCCGAAGUGGGGAAUAACUGACCCGAAAGGGUGGACUAAUACCGCAUGUGAUCGUCUGUUCAUUCGAACGAUCAAAGCCGUAAGGCGUCGUUUGGGGAGGGCCUGCGUCCGAUUAGCUCGUUGGUGGGUAUGGCUCACAAGGCGACGAGUCGGUAGGUGGUCUGGAGAGGACGAUCAACCCGAGACCUAGGGACUGACGACACCGGACCCAGACCUCCGUACGGGAGCGAAGCAGGUCGGGUAAUUUUG